This 230-nucleotide ribosomal RNA is filed under the name uncultured eukaryote. RNAcentral's name for it is "partial 18S ribosomal RNA". It matches the Rfam family "Eukaryotic small subunit ribosomal RNA", at positions 1208 to 1456 of the family's 1831-position model. The record is from RNAcentral.
GGAAAACUCACCAGGUCCAGACAUAGUAAGGAUUGACAGAUUGAUAGAUCUUUCUUGAUUCUAUGGGUGGUGGUGCAUGGCCGUUCUUAGUUGGUGGAGUGAUUUGUCUGCUUAAUUGCGUUAACGAACGAGACCUUCACAUGCUAAAUAGAGCACCGUAUCUUCGGAUAUGGAUGCUACUUCUUAGAUGGACUUUUGGCUUUUAAGCCAAAGGAAGCAGGAGGCAAUAA